Molecule: ribosomal RNA, 497 nt
Filed under: uncultured bacterium
Lineage: Bacteria
Description: partial 16S ribosomal RNA
Rfam family: Bacterial small subunit ribosomal RNA
Source: RNAcentral
GACGAACGCUGGCGGCGUGCCUAAUACAUGCAAGUUGAGCGAUGAAGAUUGGUGCUUGCACCAAUUUGAAGAGCAGCGAACGGGUGAGUAACGCGUGGGGAAUCUGCCUUUGAGCGGGGGACAACAUUUGGAAACGAAUGCUAAUACCGCAUAACAACUUUAAACAUAAGUUUUAAGUUUGAAAGAUGCAAUUGCAUCACUCAAAGAUGAUCCCGCGUUGUAUUAGCUAGUUGGUGAGGUAAAGGCUCACCAAGGCGAUGAUACAUAGCCGACCUGAGAGGGUGAUCGGCCACAUUGGGACUGAGACACGGCCCAAACUCCUACGGGAGGCAGCAGUAGGGAAUCUUCGGCAAUAGACGAAAGUCUGACCGAGCAACGCCGCGGGAGUGAAGAAGGUUUUCGGAUCGUAAAACUCUGUUGGUAGAGAAGAACGUUGGUGAGAGUGGAAAGCUCAUCAAGUGACGGUAACUACACAGAAAGGGACGGCUAACUACGUG